AUAUCGUAGCAAAGCUUCCCAAGCGUUGAAGAUUUGGGGAGUGAGAAAUCAGUUCUUGAUGGUGAGCAGUGAACUGGUAAAUGAUGUUACGUCUCUAUUUGAUUUUCUCGUGUUGUUGAUCAGUGAGUGAACCGUUAUCUCCUUACAUGGUCUUGGACAAUGCUCACUUCGUUUGCGGUGCACACUGCACAGUUCUCUAACAGA
This 204-nucleotide unclassified non-coding RNA is filed under the name Hevea brasiliensis (rubber tree). Lineage: Eukaryota; Viridiplantae; Streptophyta; Magnoliopsida; Malpighiales; Euphorbiaceae. The record is from RNAcentral.